ACUAGGAGACUAAGUUUAAAAGCAGGAUAGUCUCCAAACUAGACUAAAAGCAGAGCUGCAAACAAAGUUGAAUUAAUGCAGGAUAGUCUCCAAACUAGGAGUGCGCACAACAGAGCUGCAAACAAACUAGCUAGGAGGCUCCAAACUAGGGGUACAAAUUCACGCUAUUCCCAAUUUAUUCUUAAUGUUGACACUGAUCCUAAUUUUAUGGCUCCUUUGUUUGACUCAAGUUAUGAAAGAUAGUUCUUCCACUUCACAAU
Molecule: long non-coding RNA, 260 nt
Filed under: Trifolium pratense (red clover)
Lineage: Eukaryota; Viridiplantae; Streptophyta; Magnoliopsida; Fabales; Fabaceae
Description: long non-coding RNA (TPRA_LNC003450)
Source: RNAcentral